Non-coding RNA from Leptonychotes weddellii (Weddell seal), 569 nucleotides. NCBI's taxonomy places the organism in Eukaryota, Metazoa, Chordata, Mammalia, Carnivora, Phocidae. The record is from RefSeq and is a predicted model, not a curated record.
CUCCACACUUGGGGCUUCAUGGGUUCCCUCGUGUAAUGCUCCUGAGAGGUAGGUCAGGAGAUGGACUAGGAGUAUCUUGUCCAAGGUCACACAGCUGAGAAGGGUUAAGGUUGGACUUGAAACAGAAGAUACUGAAGCCUGGGCUUUCAGUCGCUCUGCUGUUGGGGCGCAAAGGUGCUCGUCCCGGGACCAGAGAUGAGGCAGAGGGAACAGACCAGAGCAAGGAGGGGACCGUGGCCAAGUCUCAUGCCUGAGUCCGGGGGUGAGGCAGGGAAAGAGCAUGGCCGCCACCCCGCUUACCACGCUUGGCCGCGAAUCUUCGACGAAGAUCUUUAAACUUCAUGGUGUGAAGUGGGAAGGGACCGAAGGGAAUGCCCACUCCCCCGGCCCCGCUGCAGGGGCGAGAGGGAAGUGUGAUUUCAGGCAGCGCAGGGCCCAUCUGAAAAGCUCGACUAGAACAGAGGAUUCACUUUCUGUCAACCUUUCAUUUCUUGAGCGCCGGCUGGGUAAAAGAUCGUCUAGAAGAAUUCCUUGACCCUCCUGGCUGCCCAGAAAAUCACCCAUCUGAA